GGCCAAAAAUAAACAUUAAUUAAUAAUAAAACAUUAAGACAAAAAGAUAUGACUUUCUCUUUCCUUGAAGUCACGCUUUCUCUUUCACUGAAGAACUCACAAUUUCUCUUUCAGUGACGAGCUGAAGAUCGAAUUGAAGAUCGAGCCGAAGAACUCACCGAGCUGACCGAGCUUUCUCUUCUCCGAGCUGAAGAUUUCGUCAUGAAGGAAUUGAUUGGGGUUGUUGGCAAGAUGAACUGAAGUUAAGUCUUCCCAUCACACUUUUUUCUUAGAUUUCUCAUUGAAGAACUUGAUUUCGGACAGAUUUAUGGCUGAAAAGCUGAAGUUACUCUUUUUGAAGAAUAAGAUUUACAUAAUAGUUCUUGCUGAAUAACACGAUUUUGUGUGAAUUGGGUUUAUCGUGAAUUCAAAUAUCCCAUCCAAGGAUUGGAUGGAUUUAGCAAGGUAUAGCAAAGAGGAUAUUGCUGGGGUUGAAUCAUUCCUAGAUUUCUCUUGCUCUUAUGGAGAUCCUCAAGGAGAUGAAAUUCAGUGUCCAUGUGCCAAAUGUUUUAAGAUUCAUUGGACUAGAAAGAAUGUAGUGUAUGAUCAUCUAAUAUGCUAUGAGUUUGUUAAAGGAUAUAUUUAAUGGAUCAAUCAGAGAGAAUGGGAUAUCAAGUUGAAUGUUGACGAUGAUAUGAAUUACUCGCUUGAUGAUAUUGAUGGAAUGUUGAAUGAUCAAUCUAGAAAUGUUUCAUAGGAUGAAGGAGUUUAUGAUCUGGUCUCUUGCUUUGACAUAGUUGUCCUCUGUAGUGAUAUUAUAAGUCUUGUUAUAAUAGAAUUGUGUAUGCCUAACAAUUCUAACUCAUCGUUACUUUAGAUUAAUGAAACUUGUUGAGUGGCUGAUUUAUUCAAUUGAAAGAUCAGUUAUUCUGAUGAUCA
Solanum pennellii is the source of this 918-nucleotide long non-coding RNA. RefSeq lists it as uncharacterized. Lineage: Eukaryota; Viridiplantae; Streptophyta; Magnoliopsida; Solanales; Solanaceae. The transcript is spliced from 3 exons. The record is from RefSeq and is a predicted model, not a curated record.